GGCCGCCUGGCGAAAUGGCAUCGCGUCUGACUACGAUGAUGGAUAAAGUCGUAAAUUAUUUAAUCAGGAGAAUGCAGGUUCGACCCCUGCGGUGGUCA
This is a non-coding RNA of Mycena haematopus, 98 nucleotides long. The record is from the annotation of a GenBank genome assembly. Lineage: Eukaryota; Fungi; Basidiomycota; Agaricomycetes; Agaricales; Mycenaceae.